Molecule: ribosomal RNA, 513 nt
Filed under: uncultured bacterium
Lineage: Bacteria
Description: partial 16S ribosomal RNA
Rfam family: Bacterial small subunit ribosomal RNA
Source: RNAcentral
GACGAACGCUGGCGGCGUGCUUAACACAUGCAAGUCGAACGAAAAGAGGGAAAGAGCUUGCUCUUUCCGGAAUUGAGUGGCAAACGGGUGAGUAACACGUAAACAACCUGCCUUCAGGAUGGGGACAACAGACGGAAACGACUGCUAAUACCGAAUAAGUUCCAAGGGCCGCAUGGCCCAUGGAAGAAAAGGUGGCCUCUACCUGUAAGCUAUCGCCUGAAGAGGGGUUUGCGUCUGAUUAGCUGGUUGGAGGGGGAACGGCCCACCAAGGCGACGAUCAGUAGCCGGUCUGCGAGGAUGAACGGCCGCACUGGGACUGGGACACGGUCCAGGCUCCUACGGGAGGCAGCAGUGGGGAAUCUUCCGCAAUGGGCGAAAGCCUGACGGAGCAACGCCGCGUGAGUGAUGACGGCCUUCGGGUUGUAAAACUCUGUGAUCCGGGACGAAAAGGCAGAGUGCGAAGAACAAACUGCAUUGACGGUACCGGAAAAACAAGCCACGGCUAACUACGUG